UUUCCGUAGGUGAACCUGCGGAAGGAUCAUUAUUGAAUGAACUUGGUAGUGGUUGUAGCUGGCUCUCUCGAGAGCAUGUGCACACCCGCCAUCUUUAUCUUUCCACCUGUGCACUUCUUGUAGACUUUGGGAUUUGAAAACUUAUCCGGGGCAACUCGAUCGGGAGGAGCUGCUGUAGCAAUACGGCUCUCCUUGACAAGUCUUCAAAGUCUAUGUUUUUCAUAUACCCCAUAGUAUGUAACAGAAUGUAUACAAAUGAGCCUUAGUGCUUAUAAAACUUAUACAACUUUCAACAACGGAUCUCUUGGCUCUC
RNAcentral lists this unclassified non-coding RNA (313 nucleotides) under plant metagenome. Its description in RNAcentral is "partial contains small subunit ribosomal RNA, internal transcribed spacer 1, and 5.8S ribosomal RNA". The record is from RNAcentral.